CUCGCCGUAGCUCAGUUGGUAGUAGCGCAAGGCUGUAAGUGUUGAUUGCGGAAACCUUGAGGUCCCUGGUUCGAUCCCAGGCGGCGAGA
Non-coding RNA from Raphidocelis subcapitata, 89 nucleotides. NCBI's taxonomy places the organism in Eukaryota, Viridiplantae, Chlorophyta, Chlorophyceae, Sphaeropleales, Selenastraceae. The record is from the annotation of a GenBank genome assembly.